GUGAAAGACCCGAGCUAACAUGGGGUUAGUUCGUUAAAUUACAAUAAAGCCUCGUGCAGUUUGCAGCAAGCUCUCGAAUCCGCCUGGUGAUUGGGGUGACCGCGAACCUGGCCUGAGACCCCGGAUACUUGAGUUUUCGGGGGUCUAACAUUUUGGGGGCUCGUCCGCGAUUUGCGACCACCCUUCACCUGAGUGGAUUCGAUCUUGGAGUUUAUAAUGUCAGACAGACCGCCAGAUCCGGACAGUGACCCAAAGUCUCCAAAGAAGAUUACGAGGCACCUUAGUUCCUGCACCUGGACCAGUGAGCGAGAUGCUCAGAUGUGAAACCUGCCGCCUGCCAGAACCUGGCCAAGAAUGUGGACAAAGCUGCUGGACACUGGAAAAUUGAUUGUACCCCUUUGCCUAGACAAAACAAGGUCAGUCUUUUCCAUGUCCCUCUUCCACAGAGAGGAAAAAAACCUCUCACAGUAUAGGCCUGGUGGAGAUUACUGUUCUUUGAGACAGCUGCCUCCAACGAUAAUGGAGAAACUUGGGUUUGGCUAACUGUAUAUGGACUUGCUUCUGACUGGCUUCUGUCACUUUUUAGUAGAUUUGGAUAAAGUAUACCCUUCUCAGAUCUCUGAAAUAUUACUGGUUGUCAGCUUGACAGCAUCAGUCAGUCAGAUCCACUAUAGACUAGUCAGUAUGUUAGCUGAUAAAAUAGUAACUAUCUACUGUUCAGGCACGAGUUCAAGGUUUUUAAGUUUAUUUUGGUUGUCAUCUAAGUACAAACUUAAAGGGCUUUUCAUCAGGCCAAAGGCACCUCUGUCCAAUCCAUACCUGGCACUCUGGACAGAAGCUAUACAUGCUUAUAGCCCAAAUCUGCAGUUUUUGCUAGGACUCAAAGUUAUAAAUAUGUUCUUGCUGUUUAAACAGAUAUCUGCUUUUUCUACACUGUGGGCUUCAGUAAAUAAGCUUUAACCUCUGUUCCUAGUUUAAACAUGUCUUAAACAGGUUUCUGCUUCUGGCAGACAUCUAAAUAUCAGUUGCUGACUACAGACUGUUCUAAGACUGCGAGCCCUAGACUUGCUGUGGAUGUGAACCAGUUCAGCUGAUAUGGACACCCCCUGUCUCUACAACAGUGUCUGCUACCCAGAAGCCCCUGAUGAAUUCCCCAUUGCCUAAAUCCCUUUUUGCUUUUGACUAGCAUUUCAACCUUCUGGGGUCCCUAACUUCGUCCCAAAGUCAGCAGGAAGCAGUUUAGAAAAGAAUUUCGGCGUCCAUUUUCCCUGGUUAAAAUGCUAAGUCAAAAGGAACUCCCUUACAUGGGGAUGCCAAUAUCUAUCACUCCCUGAUGGGGAUGCUAGAGAGACAGCAAUUCCAUGAUUGGAAUUUCCAGAAAAGAAAAUGGGGGAAUGAAGGAACCGGCUUCCCUUUUGGCAGCCAUAAUGGUUGAACAUGUGC
Molecule: long non-coding RNA, 1443 nt
Filed under: Cricetulus griseus (Chinese hamster)
Lineage: Eukaryota; Metazoa; Chordata; Mammalia; Rodentia; Cricetidae
Description: lncRNA (ENSCGRG00015032611.1)
Source: RNAcentral